Molecule: ribosomal RNA, 485 nt
Filed under: uncultured bacterium
Lineage: Bacteria
Description: bacterial SSU rRNA
Rfam family: Bacterial small subunit ribosomal RNA
Source: RNAcentral
GAUGAACGCUAGCGGGAGGCCUAAUACAUGCAAGUCGAACGGUAACAGGGUAGCAAUACCGCUGACGAGUGGCGCACGGGUGAGUAACACGUACACAACCUGCCUUAUACUGGAGCAUACCCCCAAGAAAUUGGGACUAAUUCUCCAUAACGUUAUGAAGCGGCAUCGCUUUAUAACUAAAACUACCGGUGGUAUAAGAUGGGUGUGCGUCUGAUUAGCUAGUUGGUGAGGUAAAGGCUCACCAAGGCAACGAUCAGUAACUGGUCUGAGAGGAUGAUCAGUCACACGGGCACUGAGACACGGGCCCCGACUCCUACGGGAGGCAGCAGUAGGGAAUAUUGGACAAUGGGCGCAAGCCUGAUCCAGCCAUCCCGCGUGAAGGAUUAAGGCCCUAUGGGUUGUUAAACUUCUUUUCUCUGGGAAUAAAACCGGUAUUUAUACUGCUUGAAGUACCAGAGGAAUAAGCACCGGCUAACUCCGUGCCA